CAUGAUCCGAUCGGAUGGUUGAUCAAUGAUUAAGAAUCAUUCUAGGGUUAAAUGAUCAAUACGAUUGAUAUUUAAUCUAGUGCAAGUGUUGCAGGAGGAUCGAUUAGAAAUUCGAUUGCUAAUUGGCUUAAUUUGAUUAAGCCAAUGAGAUGAGAUUAAGUCUAAUUGAAUAUAAUUUAAUUAGAUUUAGUUUGGGCUUGAUUGGAUCAAGUCC
This 214-nucleotide long non-coding RNA is filed under the name Elaeis guineensis (African oil palm). Its description in RNAcentral is "long non-coding RNA (EGUI_LNC068279)". The record is from RNAcentral. Lineage: Eukaryota; Viridiplantae; Streptophyta; Magnoliopsida; Arecales; Arecaceae.